CCGAUGCGGGGCUCGAUCCCAGGACCCUGGGACCAUGACCCGAGCCGAAGGCAGACGCUUAACGACUGAGCCACCCGGGCGCCCCUGUCACUUGUCAUCUUGAGUGACCUCAGUUCUGCCCAACGUCUUGGUCUCCCAGAACCAGGACACUCUCCACCAGGCCCCGUCAGGGACCUUGCCAUCGUUGAAAUGCAGCCCUUCCCAAGUUCUUGAGGCCGCUCUGACCUCAACCUCUUGUCUACCCACGUGCUUGUCUGACUAAGGCUGGACUGUUCCCUGACCACAGGAGCACCUCCUGGCCUCGGGUGUCUGUACUGUCCCUGGCCAGGGGCCCACUGAGGCCGUGGACUCAUCUUCCCUUCCCUAACCUGCACACUCUCCGGGGCUCUCCAUUCGAGCCGUCUCCUGCCCCCCCCACCCCCGAGCCCUCCAUCCUGCCAUCUUCUGCAGCGCCCCCAACCUGGCUGAGAGCCUCACACCUGGGCUGAGAAGUGCCGGCCUGGCCCCCCCACCGCCCCCGCCGCGGCUCUGGGGGUGUCUAGAACACCGUCUGGUACCUGGAAGUUGGCUGGUCAAGAUUUCUGCAAUGAAUUAUGCCGGGUUUCUAGAGUCGGCUUGCUUUUCCUCUCUCGAUUUUAAAUCUUAGUGCUCCUGAAGCUCUGGGGACUCUCACCUCCUCCUCACUCUCAGGUGACCUCGCCUCCUGUUUACAGACCAUACAGAAAUUGUCCUGCUGGAACUGGCUCCCGCACAGGCCCACCUCUUUUCCUCUUGUUACCAAGGAAGACGGACCCAGACUGAGACCAGCCCUCCGCCCGCAGACUCUGAAUAACUUCCCCACCUUCCCUUUUGGGAACUCAUUCCCCGUGGAAGCUCCUCGUCUCACGUCUCACCGUACUUGUCCUUCGGAUAGUGCUCUUCGGAAUCUCAGACUGGCCACCCAUCUGCAAACUCCCGCCAGCCUCCGCCACGGCAGAGCAGACUCAACUGGGGGGGGUACCCCCAAAAGAGGGAAGUCACAAUCUACUGAACUUAGCAGAAAAACUCACGCAUCUGACAAGGAGAAAAUAGGAUCCAGUAAGACAGACUUUAAAGACCAUCACCCAAGUCGUCACAGGAGGCUGCAGGCCGUCUUCUGUCCUCCAGAUUGAAAGCUUUCCGGCGGUUUCCACGAACACAAACUUAACGCCCUGCGAGGAACGAGCGAGCGGCAGAGGAAUCAAAUCCCGCCCUUCCUCUGGGCCUCGUCACUAGCGAAUGCAAGCAAUGCCCACGCUCUCGACCUCAGGGAGGGAGAAGCUGGAGACCGCGUCACCCCCGCAGGCCCGGGCCGCGCUUGCGGGAACCCCGGGGCUGCCGGAGUGCCACUGGGCUCUGCGGCAAGCAGGAUGGGCUGCACGCCAGCGACAGAGCCAGCGGUCCACUCGAGGGACAGAAUCACACCAGGGCUCCGGGCAGCACGCUGCAAGCUAGCUGCCACCAGGCAGUGGAUGGGAGUUUUGCUGCAGAAACUGGGAGGACAGAGGACCCACGCCAGCCCCAGACAGGCCAGUUUCGUCCCAUUCAGCGAUGGCAGAAACCCAGUGCUCGGGAGUUGCAUACUGUGGGCUUGGAGGACCGUGUGGUUUGAGAGGAGCCUCUCCACGAGACAGGGACAGCUUUCCCGUUGUCUUUUUCGACAGAAGGAGCGGCCCUGGAAGCAAAUGGAGGCCGGGGCGCAGGC
Molecule: long non-coding RNA, 1723 nt
Organism: Zalophus californianus (California sea lion)
Lineage: Eukaryota; Metazoa; Chordata; Mammalia; Carnivora; Otariidae
Exons: 4
Source: RefSeq, a predicted model, not a curated record